UGAGCUGACGCUCGGAAGGUGUCUUGAGAUUAUCAUCCGCUGAGGGUGGAAGCGGCCCCCGCAGACGCUCGGCAGGUGUCUUGAGAUUAUCAUCUGCUGAGGGUGGAAGCGGCCCCCGCAGACGCUCGGCAGGUGUCUUGAGAUUAUCAUCUGCUGAGGGUGGAAGCGGCCCCCGCAGACGCUCGGCAGGUGUCUUGAUAUUAUCAUCUGCUGAGGGUGGAGCUGAGGGUGGAAGGGGAGUGAGCUGACGCUCGGAAGGUGUCUUGAGAUUAUCAUCCGCUCAGGGUGGAAGCGGCCCCCGCAGACGCUCGGCAGGUGUCUUGAUAUUAUCAUCUGCUGAGGGUGGAAGGGCAGUGAGCUGACGCUCGGAAGGUGUCUUGAGAUUAUCAUCCGCUGAGGGUGGAAGGGGAUGGAGCAGACACUCGGCACGUGUCUUGAGAUUAUCAUCCGCUGAGGGUGGAGCUGAGGGUAGAGCUGAGGGUGGAAGGGGAGUGAGCAGACACUCGGGAGGUGUCUUGAGAUUAUCAUCCGCUGAGGGUGGAAGGGGAGUGAGCACACACUCGGGAGGUGUCUUGAGAUUAUCAUCCGCUGAGGGUGGAAGGGGAGUGAGCAGACACUCGGGAGGUGUCUUGAGGCUCAGGGAGUUAUCAGUUAUAGAAUGUUGUUGAGUUGGAGGAGGUGGCUGGUGGCCCAUCCUGU
RNAcentral lists this long non-coding RNA (699 nucleotides) under Homo sapiens (human). RNAcentral describes it as "HSALNT0384967". Lineage: Eukaryota; Metazoa; Chordata; Mammalia; Primates; Hominidae. The record is from RNAcentral.